This is a long non-coding RNA of Dermacentor silvarum, 290 nucleotides long. RefSeq lists it as uncharacterized. Lineage: Eukaryota; Metazoa; Arthropoda; Arachnida; Ixodida; Ixodidae. The transcript has 2 exons. The record is from RefSeq and is a predicted model, not a curated record.
AGAGUGUGGUAUCCUCAAAGUACACUUAUCAGGCCAUGAUCAAUACGAAGUGCACCAAUGGGACAGUAAAGUUGACAAUGAAGCACCACAGUGUAUGGCAAAAUUCCAAGAAUUAUCUGCUGGAAAACCAUCAUACGAAGUUUAUUCAUCCAGCUGCAAGACAGCCACCAAAAAUAAUUGAUGUGAAAACUUUUCAGAAGAUGCGCCACUUGGCGGAAAAAUAAUUCAUCUCAAAAGUAUGUUUUGUGGAAUGUAGAAGUAAAAUGGAUCAUGUCUCAAAAUAAAAAAAA